UACGGAGGGUGCAAGCGUUAAUCGGAAUUACUGGGCGUAAAGCGUGCGUAGGUGGUUCGUUAAGUCCGUUGUGAAAGCCCCGAGCUCAACUUGGGAAUUGCAGUGGAUACUGGCGAGCUGGAGUGCGGUAGAGGAAGGUGGAAUUCCCGGUGUAGCGGUGAAAUGUGUAGAGAUCGGGAGGAACACCGGUGGCGAAGGCGGGUCUCUGGGCAAUUCCUGACGCUGAGGCGCGAAAGCGUGGGGAGCAAACGGG
This 253-nucleotide ribosomal RNA is filed under the name uncultured bacterium. RNAcentral describes it as "partial 16S ribosomal RNA". It matches the Rfam family "Bacterial small subunit ribosomal RNA", at positions 524 to 776 of the family's 1533-position model. The record is from RNAcentral.